AGCAGCCCCGGGGAAAGAGCCCUGAUCCAGGACUCAGGCCCCUGUUCCCAGCGCGGUUUAGCUGCCAACCAGAUCUCCUUCUGCAAGAGGAGAAACAGAAGGAAACUUCAUUCCUGAGUGUGUGGAGCCAGGAAAAGGGGCAAUGCCUGGUGGCUGGGGCCAGAUCUACAUCCGGGGCCUCCUAAGUAAGACCAGGACCUCGAGGGGAGGCUGAAGGGAGGAGCCACAGCCCGCAGUCACUGGGCUGAGCAGGAGGAACAUUCAAAAGGUCUGGGAGCACACGGUGGGGUCCUCAGCAGUGAGAUCCUCCCCCGGCCUCCGUGUCAUGGACAGAAGGUGGACGCCUUGUCACGAGCUGGCCACAUCAGAUGCUCUCUUUCGGGACUUUGGGACUGAGAAAGAGAGAGGGAGACGCCCAGGAUGGGGAUGAGAACAGAGCCGGUGGCAGACCAGCCCCGUGGGAAAAACUGAGGUCACCAGCCACACAGCCACCUGCUUCCAAAUGUUACACUGGCUGUCUCGAGCGCUCACUUCUACCUUACUCAAAUGUUCGCUUUUAUGGGAAACUUGAGUUAUUUUGUUUUUAAAAUACUAAUAAAAUAAAACUUAAAAAAGU
This is a non-coding RNA of Macaca mulatta (Rhesus monkey), 616 nucleotides long. The record is from RefSeq and is a predicted model, not a curated record. Lineage: Eukaryota; Metazoa; Chordata; Mammalia; Primates; Cercopithecidae.